GGCCGCGGUAUCCUAACCGUGCAAAGGUAGCAUAAUCACUUGCCCAUUAAUUGUGGGCUAAAAUGAAAGGACUGAACGAAAUAUAAGCUGUCUCUGUAAGCCCAAUAAAAAUUAAUCUCCAAAUGAAGAAUAUUGGAUUUACUUGAAGGACAAGAAAACCCUAUAGAGCUUUAUCUAAUAAAAUAUUAACAAUUCUACUAAGAUUCAGUUGGGGCGACUAGGGAAAACAAAUCAUCCCUUUAUCUAAGAUAUAUUAAUCAAUUUUAUGACCCUUUAUAAAGAUCAAAAGAACAAGCUACCUUAGGGAUAACAGGCUAAUUCCAUUAAAGAGUCCUUAUCAAAAAUGGAGUUUGGCACCUCGAUGUUGGCUUAAGGAAUCAAUAAGACGCAAAAGUCAUAUAAAGAUGGUUUGUUCAACCAGUAACACCCUACGUGAUCUGAGUUCAGACCGGA
Molecule: ribosomal RNA, 453 nt
Filed under: Dendrobaena attemsi
Lineage: Eukaryota; Metazoa; Annelida; Clitellata; Crassiclitellata; Lumbricidae
Description: partial 16S ribosomal RNA
Rfam family: Bacterial large subunit ribosomal RNA
Source: RNAcentral